GUGUGCGUAGCUCAGUUGGAAGAGCCCGGGAUUGUGAUUCCCGGAGGCAUCGGUUCGAAACCGAUCGCACACCCCA
This 76-nucleotide transfer RNA is filed under the name Pelomonas sp. Root1237. RNAcentral's name for it is "tRNA-His". It matches the Rfam family "tRNA". From Rfam's summary of the family: Transfer RNA (tRNA) molecules are approximately 80 nucleotides in length. Their secondary structure includes four short double-helical elements and three loops (D, anti-codon, and T loops). The record is from RNAcentral. Lineage: Bacteria; Pseudomonadati; Pseudomonadota; Betaproteobacteria; Burkholderiales; Sphaerotilaceae.